Long non-coding RNA from Homo sapiens (human), 1542 nucleotides. NCBI's taxonomy places the organism in Eukaryota, Metazoa, Chordata, Mammalia, Primates, Hominidae. The record is from Ensembl.
GAGGGCGGCCGCCAUUUUGAAACGAACAGACUCCAAAAGCACGCUCCACUGGGCCUGCCCCUGCGAUCUUAAAACAGAUGUCCGUGAAAUGUGACCCAUGAAUAGCAGUUAUCUGGAGAGAGAGCUCUGAAGCUGAUGAAACCAUUAGAGCCACUGAAGGCACCUGGUAAAUGCGAUGCGGGGAGUACAGAAGAGAGAAUCAGAAACACACCGGCACUCUCAUUCCCAUGAGGCCACUUACAGUGGGUAAAACGUCGCUUGAGAAGAGCGGAUGGGUCUGUGUUCCUGCCUCGCUCAUGCAGCUCAGGCUCAGCAAAAAAACAGCUUCUCUUCUGAGCUGAAACUUACCCAAAAGAAGGAGGAAUAAAAACUUUGGGAAACAAAUGUAACCUUUGGAGCUGCUUGGUAAAUAUUGGAACUGUUUACUAUGGAGGCCCAGAUGUGUCAAAACCAAGAAACAAACAGGAACCAGCAAAAACAGAUGUGAAGACUAGACAUGUAUACAUAUUAACCAUGUAUUACAUAUGCAUAUGUGUGCACACGUGUCACUCAUGUACUGAUUCCCAGAGGGCUGGAUAACUUCGGCCAAGAAAAUUCCCACUGGGGAAGAGACAUCAUCCAUAGGUUAUCCCAAAUAGUUCUAUCUUAGGAGUCCACUUCUCUGAGUCUCUCUUCACGUGAUCAAUCACUUGUUUAGAAAAUAUUUCUCAUGGUCAAUAACAGAAAAUUUUUACAUUAGCUCCACUAGUGAAAUUACCCUCAAAGCAUUUCUUGCACCAAAAGAAACCAGACUCCAUGGCUGCAUCAGCGACUGGGCUAGCCACUCUGGAAACAGGUUCCCAAGCCUUCAAGAGCUGCCAAGCCAUCCCAGAAUAAAGCGCCCCUCCUCACCGAGCAGCAGGCUCUGGUCUGUGCAGCUUCCACAAGGCCUGAUCCCAGGAAAAGCCUUCCUGCUUCCCAGGGACUUCCCCAUUCCUGUCCCCAAAACAACGCCUGAGGCUGUCAGCCUAGAGAAGGGGAAGUCCCCACCACCCCGUCCCAGGAUGCGAGGCAGGAAGACAUUUACCCCACCUGCGGGACAAAAAGAUUAAGGCCCACGGUGUGUAUACAGCCUCGGGCCAAUUACAGUUUUCAAAUUCUCCCACUCCCUCCACUGGCAUUUGUCCUAGAGUGAAAUGUGCCUAAAAUGAAGAGGAGAAAGACAGAGGAUAACAGAAGGGUGUCAGGGAAGGAGUCUUAAAUAUCAGAUGACCCCAAAUCUGACCCUGGUUCUGCAAUAAAGUGUCUAUGUGACCUGAGACCAGUGGCUUCACCAACCGGAACCCCAGUUUCUUCCAUCUGUGGUGAAGCGUUGAACCAAAUGACCUCCUGCUUCUCAGACUCCCAGAGAUGGUCCCUUUCUCAGGCCCCAGGGCCUCCCUCCCUCCAAGGCACCCCUGCAGGUCUGGACAGAGUUGGAGGGUGUGGGGUUGGAACGGCACCUGUGUUUACAAUGGUACAAUCUGCAGUUUACUGUAAUAAAAUCAUUUAAUACAUUCAUAA